Molecule: long non-coding RNA, 1111 nt
Organism: Homo sapiens (human)
Lineage: Eukaryota; Metazoa; Chordata; Mammalia; Primates; Hominidae
Exons: 3
Source: RefSeq, a predicted model, not a curated record
AGUGAAGCUGCAGACGUUCGUGGGAGCUGUCCUUGGCCAAGAGGGAUGCUCCUUGCCUGGAAUGCUGCACUCUCACUACUUCCUGGGGGCAGACAUAGCCAAUGACUGAGGGACAGAAAUGUACAAAGGCUAGUCCUUUGUCUGAAGAAUUCAGCAGUUUCACCUUCGAAUAAUGCUGCAAAUGGAAUAUCAGUCUCUCCCCAGUGAUGCUCACUAACUGAACAAAUCUCCCUUGGAUUCAGCUGGACACCAGUUUCACCUUGACAUGCUCCCCAUCUCUGAUGAGUCGCUUCCUCCAGCAAGAUCCAAUAUCCUAAGUCCCACAGUCCAGGACAAUGACCCACAGGAUCUCCCGACAGACCAACAGCCAUAGUUAGGGUCAACUCUACACCCAAGGCCAGCAGGAAGUAGUUGGAGGAUAAGACCACUGCCCUAGUGCCAAAGACUUGUCAUUGUUGUUCUGUCAGAGGGGAAAAGGGGAGUCUGAGGAAGGAUUCCCAGGUGGGGGAGGGUCCCCUGUGGGGAGAAACAAUAAACAGUUAUUCUGAGAGAUGGCUAAUCACAAACAACCCAUGGUCACAGUGACCUUGUUCCACACAUAGCCCCCUCCAGCAUGACCCUAUAAAUCUUCCCUCCAGUCCCUCAUCUCUUGGCAGAUAGCCCCUUCUCUAUUGUACUGUCUGUUGUAACCUUGCAAUGUAUUUCAUACUUUCUCUAGUAAAUCUGCCUUGCUUUACAUACAACUCUCUUGGCAAAUUCCCUUACCACCUGCGACACCAGCCCCAGGUAGUCACACCCGUGACAACAGUCACUGUUUUAAGUGCUUUUAUGUGCAUUAUCUUGCUUAAGUCUAAGAGGUAAUAUUAUUAUAUUAUUAUUUUCACUUUGCAGAUGAGAAUCCUGUGGCUCGGAGAGGCGAUACAACUUGCCUGAAAGCACAAAGCUAUGAAGCAAAGGCAUUCUGAUUAUAGAGUCACGCUAUUGUACAUUAUAUGGCCUCCAAAUUGAGCACCCUGCUAGGAUUCAAAAUAUGAGUGGGAGAUGCAGACAUCUUCUUGUGAUUUAAGCACCUUAUCUUUCAUUUAGAGGCACACAUGAUUAGACUCUGUGG